Molecule: ribosomal RNA, 723 nt
Filed under: Hydrogenophaga sp.
Lineage: Bacteria; Pseudomonadati; Pseudomonadota; Betaproteobacteria; Burkholderiales; Comamonadaceae
Description: bacterial SSU rRNA
Rfam family: Bacterial small subunit ribosomal RNA
Source: RNAcentral
AGUGGCGAACGGGUGAGUAAUGCAUCGGAACGUGCCCAGUCGUGGGGGAUAACGCAGCGAAAGCUGUGCUAAUACCGCAUACGAUCUAUGGAUGAAAGCGGGGGACCGUAAGGCCUCGCGCGAUUGGAGCGGCCGAUGUCAGAUUAGGUAGUUGGUGGGGUAAAGGCCUACCAAGCCAACGAUCUGUAGCUGGUCUGAGAGGACGACCAGCCACACUGGGACUGAGACACGGCCCAGACUCCUACGGGAGGCAGCAGUGGGGAAUUUUGGACAAUGGGCGCAAGCCUGAUCCAGCAAUGCCGCGUGCAGGAAGAAGGCCUUCGGGUUGUAAACUGCUUUUGUACGGAACGAAACGGUCUGGGUUAAUACCCUGGACUAAUGACGGUACCGUAAGAAUAAGCACCGGCUAACUACGUGCCAGCAGCCGCGGUAAUACGUAGGGUGCAAGCGUUAAUCGGAAUUACUGGGCGUAAAGCGUGCGCAGGCGGUUUUGUAAGACAGGCGUGAAAUCCCCGGGCUCAACCUGGGAAUUGCGCUUGUGACUGCAAGGCUGGAGUGCGGCAGAGGGGGAUGGAAUUCCGCGUGUAGCAGUGAAAUGCGUAGAUAUGCGGAGGAACACCGAUGGCGAAGGCAAUCCCCCUGGGCCUGCACUGACGCUCAUGCACGAAAAGCGUGGGGGAGCAAACAAGGAUUAGAUACCCUUGGUAGUCCACGCCCCUAAAC